Molecule: ribosomal RNA, 311 nt
Filed under: uncultured eukaryote
Lineage: Eukaryota
Description: partial 18S ribosomal RNA
Rfam family: Eukaryotic small subunit ribosomal RNA
Source: RNAcentral
CCCUUAGAUGUUCUGGGCUGCACGCGCGCUACACUGACACAUUCAUCGAGUUCCUAGUCUGAAAAGAUUUGGUAAUCUUUUGAAAGUGUGUCGUGACGGGGAUAGAUUAUUGCAAUUAUUAAUCUUGAACGAGGAAUUCCUAGUAAGCGCGAGUCAUCAGCUCGCGUUGAUUAUGUCCCUGCCCUUUGUACACACCGCCCGUCGCUCCUACCGAUUGAAUGUUCCGGUGAACUUAUCGGACUAAUAUAAACUUGUUUUGUAUUGGAAAGAUCAGUAAACCUUAUCAUUUAGAGGAAGGAGAAGUCGUAACA